CCUCCUUUUGGCAGCAGUGAGGAAUAUUGGUCAAUGGGCGCGAGCCUGAACCAGCCAAGUAGCGUGAAGGAUGACUGCCCUACGGGUUGUAAACUUCUUUUAUAAAGGAAUAAAGUGAGGCACGUGUGCCUUUUUGUAUGUACUUUAUGAAUAAGGAUCGGCUAACACCGUGCCAGCAGCCGCGGUAAUACGGAGGAUCCGAGCGUUAUCCGGAUUUAUUGGGUUUAAAGGGAGCGUAGAUGGGUUGUUAAGUCAGUUGUGAAAGUUUGCGGCUCAACCGUAAAAUUGCAAUUGAUACUGGCAGUCUUGAGUACAGUUGAGGUAGGCGGAAUGUAUGGUGUAGCGGUGAAAUGCUUAGAGAUCAUGCAGAACACCGAUUGCGAAGGCAGCUUACCAAGCUACUUCUGACGUUGAGGCACGAAAGCGUGGGGAGCAAACAGGAUUAGAUACCCUGGUAGUC
RNAcentral lists this ribosomal RNA (460 nucleotides) under uncultured bacterium. Its description in RNAcentral is "partial 16S ribosomal RNA". It matches the Rfam family "Bacterial small subunit ribosomal RNA", at positions 338 to 795 of the family's 1533-position model. The record is from RNAcentral.